GUGUCAGCAGCCGCGGUAAUACAGAGGGCUCAAGCGUUAAUCGGAAUCACUGGGCUUAAAGGGUGCGCAGGCGGACCCGUCAGUGUCUUGUGAAAUCCCACGGCUCAACCGUGGAACUGCAGGGCAUACUGCGGGUCUUGAACCCGGCAGGGGCAAUCGGAACUCUAGGUGGAGCGGUGAAAUGCGUAGAUAUCUAGAGGAACGCCAAAGGCGAAGGCAGAUUGCUGGGCCGGUGUUGACGCUCAGGCACGAAAGCGUGGGGAGCGAACGGGAUUAGAUACCCCGGUAGUCCACGCCCUAAACGAUGUGUACUAGAUCGAGGUGGUUUUGACGCCGUCUCGGUCGGAGCAAAAGUAUUAAGUACACCGCCUGGGGAGUACGGUCGCAAGGCUAAAACUCAAAGGAAUUGACGGGG
Molecule: ribosomal RNA, 415 nt
Filed under: uncultured prokaryote
Description: bacterial SSU rRNA
Rfam family: Bacterial small subunit ribosomal RNA
Source: RNAcentral